This 253-nucleotide ribosomal RNA is filed under the name uncultured bacterium. RNAcentral's name for it is "partial 16S ribosomal RNA". It matches the Rfam family "Bacterial small subunit ribosomal RNA", at positions 524 to 776 of the family's 1533-position model. The record is from RNAcentral.
GACGAACCGGGCAAACGUUAUUCGGAAUCACUGGGCUUAAAGGGUGCGUAGGCGGCCCUGUAAGUUGGGUGUGAAAUCCCUCGGCUCAACCGAGGAAUUGCGCCCAAAACUACAGGGCUUGAGGGAGACAGAGGUGAGCGGAACUGAUGGUGGAGCGGUGAAAUGCGUUGAUAUCAUCAGGAACACCAGUGGCGAAGGCGGCUCACUGGGUCUCUUCUGACGCUGAGGCAAGAAAGCUAGGGGAGCAAACGGG